This is a non-coding RNA of Hanseniaspora valbyensis NRRL Y-1626, 73 nucleotides long. The record is from the annotation of a GenBank genome assembly. NCBI's taxonomy places the organism in Eukaryota, Fungi, Ascomycota, Saccharomycetes, Saccharomycodales, Saccharomycodaceae.
GGUCGAUUAGUCUAGAGGUUAUGAUAUUCGCUUUACACGCGAAGGGUCCCCGGUUCGAUCCCGGGAUCGACCA